Non-coding RNA from Acanthosepion pharaonis, 111 nucleotides. The record is from the annotation of a GenBank genome assembly. NCBI's taxonomy places the organism in Eukaryota, Metazoa, Mollusca, Cephalopoda, Sepiida, Sepiidae.
UGGCCACAUGAUGCUGAAACACUGGUCCUCGUACAAUUGCUGAAGUUAAGCAACAUUGAGCCUGGUUAGUACCUAGAUGGGUAACCGUUUGGGAAUACCGGGUGCUGUAAG